CUGAGUUCUGCAGGUCUGAGUUCUGCAGGUCUGAGCUCUGCAGGUCUGAGUUCUGCAGGUCUGAGUUCUGCAGGGCUGAGUUCUGCAGGUCUGAGUUCUGCAGGUCUGAGUUCUGCAGGUCUGAGUUCUGCAGGUCUGAGCUCUGCAGGUCUGAGUUCUGCAGGUCUGAGUUCUGCAGGGCUGAGUUCUGCAGGGCUGAGCUCUGCAGGUCUGAGUUCUGCAG
Long non-coding RNA from Tympanuchus pallidicinctus (lesser prairie-chicken), 223 nucleotides. RefSeq lists it as uncharacterized. The transcript has 6 exons. The record is from RefSeq and is a predicted model, not a curated record. Lineage: Eukaryota; Metazoa; Chordata; Aves; Galliformes; Phasianidae.